This is a long non-coding RNA of Corvus hawaiiensis (hawaiian crow), 752 nucleotides long. RefSeq lists it as uncharacterized. The transcript is spliced from 4 exons. The record is from RefSeq and is a predicted model, not a curated record. NCBI's taxonomy places the organism in Eukaryota, Metazoa, Chordata, Aves, Passeriformes, Corvidae.
CUUAGACUAUCCUGAAGUUUUUUCUGUGUGCUGAAGUUUCACCCAAAGGAAACAAGUUUAAGAUCAAAACUGGGGUUCACAUCUGAAUCUUAAAAUGUCUUCCUCUCCAGUGGGCCACACUAUCCAUGUAUGACCUCCCAUGUGGUGAAGUUUAGGCACAGCUAAACCUUCUGGAGCCCUGAUCCUCUCCUGACUAUAACGAUAUGUGUGAGCCAGCAAGGUGCCAUUUGUAUUUCAGUCUUGACUUUACUCGUAUUACUGCACAGAGCUGCAGAGAACUAGAAGGAUUUUAUGACAAUGUGGGUGACGUUGCCUUUGGGACUGGUCAGUGCACACACUCCUCUGCUCUGAAGGUGCUGUAGCCACCAGGAUCAAGCUGCCUUGGUUUCCUAGUCCUACACUUCCGUUGGAAUGACUGAUGGUCCUACCCAUUCGAUUUGCACCGUUCUUGGCCCUGCUCCUGCAAAUCACUCAGCUCAAGAAGGAAGCAGGUUAAGAUGAAAUUCUAAAUAAUUGCUAUUGGAAGGACACCUUUCAUGUCUUACUAAGAAAGAGCAUGGCAUAUGCAGGUUUUUUUUUUUUCCCCCCUCUCUGGAGAUAUUCUAUUCUGGUUGUGUGCAGGGAUGACAAAAUAGAGAUAUUCUGUGACAUAUACUUCUGACCCCUUCUUGUGUUUCUUGGCAAUGAAGAGCUGCAAAGAGCUAAAGAGAAUCAAGAUAUUUUCUGGGGUACUUCUGUAUUCUUAACAGACA